AUGCAGGAUAAGUUACAAUAUAGCUGUUGUGCUGUGUUGUCGUUCCCCCUGCAAAAAUUAAAUUGCUUCCUACUAUCCCUGCCUGCCCUGAAUCUUACCCCGGUAGGCAGGGACGCUUGGUCUCAAACAU
Small nucleolar RNA from Spea bombifrons (plains spadefoot toad), 130 nucleotides. RefSeq annotates it as small nucleolar RNA SNORA63. NCBI's taxonomy places the organism in Eukaryota, Metazoa, Chordata, Amphibia, Anura, Pelobatidae. The record is from RefSeq and is a predicted model, not a curated record. The transcript has a single exon.